RNAcentral lists this ribosomal RNA (527 nucleotides) under Staphylococcus epidermidis. RNAcentral's name for it is "bacterial SSU rRNA". It matches the Rfam family "Bacterial small subunit ribosomal RNA", at positions 80 to 594 of the family's 1533-position model. Lineage: Bacteria; Bacillati; Bacillota; Bacilli; Caryophanales; Staphylococcaceae. The record is from RNAcentral.
GCUCCUCUGACGUUAGCGGCGGACGGGUGAGUAACACGUGGAUAACCUACCUAUAAGACUGGGAUAACUUCGGGAAACCGGAGCUAAUACCGGAUAAUAUAUUGAACCGCAUGGUUCAAUAGUGAAAGACGGUUUUGCUGUCACUUAUAGAUGGAUCCGCGCCGCAUUAGCUAGUUGGUAAGGUAACGGCUUACCAAGGCAACGAUGCGUAGCCGACCUGAGAGGGUGAUCGGCCACACUGGAACUGAGACACGGUCCAGACUCCUACGGGAGGCAGCAGUAGGGAAUCUUCCGCAAUGGGCGAAAGCCUGACGGAGCAACGCCGCGUGAGUGAUGAAGGUCUUCGGAUCGUAAAACUCUGUUAUUAGGGAAGAACAAAUGUGUAAGUAACUAUGCACGUCUUGACGGUACCUAAUCAGAAAGCCACGGCUAACUACGUGCCAGCAGCCGCGGUAAUACGUAGGUGGCAAGCGUUAUCCGGAAUUAUUGGGCGUAAAGCGCGCGUAGGCGGUUUUUUAAGUCUGAUG